GAUAUUAGUUGAAGCUUUUCGCUCAAUUAUUGCAGUUGAGUUUGUGCAAAAGGAUGCUUGGCCUGAGCUUGUGCCUGAGCUAAGGUCGUUCAUUCAGCGCAGUGAUCUGAUUGAUAAGAAUCCGAAUUCUGAAUGGAAAACCAUCAACACUUUAACCAUUCUUCACUCACUGAUUAGACCCUUCCAGUACUUUUUGAAUCCAAAACUUGUGAAGGAGCCAG
RNAcentral lists this unclassified non-coding RNA (221 nucleotides) under Hevea brasiliensis (rubber tree). Lineage: Eukaryota; Viridiplantae; Streptophyta; Magnoliopsida; Malpighiales; Euphorbiaceae. The record is from RNAcentral.